ACUUAAAUUGUGGAGAAACAGGAAAACUGGAUUUCAGAUCUUUAUCAGUUUAUUGCUUUGGGAAUAGAGAAGGCUACUUGUGAAAAGCCUGACUACUAGAU
Molecule: long non-coding RNA, 101 nt
Organism: Suricata suricatta (meerkat)
Lineage: Eukaryota; Metazoa; Chordata; Mammalia; Carnivora; Herpestidae
Exons: 3
Source: RefSeq, a predicted model, not a curated record